Molecule: ribosomal RNA, 558 nt
Filed under: Bacillus sp. CH81a
Lineage: Bacteria; Bacillati; Bacillota; Bacilli; Caryophanales; Bacillaceae
Description: bacterial SSU rRNA
Rfam family: Bacterial small subunit ribosomal RNA
Source: RNAcentral
GGUGAGUAACACGUGGGCAACCUGCCUGUAAGACCGUGAUAACUUCGGGAAACCGGAGCUAAUACCGGAUAAUAUAAGGAACCUCCUGGUUCUUUAUUGAAAGAUGGUUUCGGCUAUCACUUACAGAUGGGCCCGCGGCGCAUUAGCUAGUUGGUGAGGUAAUGGCUCACCAAGGCGACGAUGCGUAGCCGACCUGAGAGGGUGAUCGGCCACACUGGGACUGAGACACGGCCCAGACUCCUACGGGAGGCAGCAGUAGGGAAUCUUCCACAAUGGACGAAAGUCUGAUGGAGCAACGCCGCGUGAGCGAUGAAGGCCUUCGGGUCGUAAAGCUCUGUUGUUAGGGAAGAACAAGUGCGAGAGUAACUGCUCGCACCUUGACGGUACCUAACCAGAAAGCCACGGCUAACUACGUGCCAGCAGCCGCGGUAAUACGUAGGUGGCAAGCGUUGUCCGGAAUUAUUGGGCGUAAAGCGCGCGCAGGUGGUCCUUUAAGUCUGAUGUGAAAGCCCACGGCUCAACCGUGGAGGGUCAUUGGAAACUGGGGGACUUGAGUGC